UACGUAGGGGGCAAGCGUUGUUCGGAAUUACUGGGCGUAAAGGGCGCGUAGGCGGCCCGGCAAGUCAGGCGUGAAAGGCCUGGGCUCAACCGAGGAACUGCUUUUGAGACUGCCGAGCUAGAGUGCAGAAGGGGCAACUGGAAUUCCCAGUGUAGCGGUGAAAUGCGUAGAUAUUGGGAAGAACACCUGAGGCGAAGGCGGGUUGCUGGGCUGACACUGACGCUGAGGCGCGAAAGCCAGGGGAGCAAACGGG
Molecule: ribosomal RNA, 253 nt
Filed under: uncultured bacterium
Lineage: Bacteria
Description: partial 16S ribosomal RNA
Rfam family: Bacterial small subunit ribosomal RNA
Source: RNAcentral